AUCCAAUUCACUGUGGACAAGGUCUUGGAGCAACAUCACCAGGCUGCCAAGGCUCAGCAGAAACUACAGGCCUCACUCUCAGUGGCUGUGAACUCUAUCAUGAGUAUUCUGACUGGAAGCACUAGGAGCAGCUUCCGAAAGAUGUGUCUCCAGACCCUUCAAGCAGCUGACACACAAGAGUUCGGGACCAAACUGCACAAAGUAUUUCGUGAGAUCACCCAACACCAAUUUCUUCACCACUGCUCAUGUGAGGUGAAGCAGUUCCAGAUAAGUCAAUCGUACUGACUGGAGCCAAGAAAGCCAGAAAAGUGGGCUUCAGUUAGACAACUACUACCAGCUACAC
This 343-nucleotide small RNA is filed under the name Pan troglodytes (chimpanzee). RNAcentral's name for it is "processed transcript". The record is from RNAcentral. Lineage: Eukaryota; Metazoa; Chordata; Mammalia; Primates; Hominidae.